GAAGGAGAGCAAAGAAGCAAGAGGAAGGGAGGAGCAAGGGUUUCCUACCAACUAAGCAAGGGUUUGGUGAGAGGAGUAACGAAGAGGGAUAAAAGAGGAAGGAAAAGGGAAGGAAGUGGGAAGAAGCGUUCCCCCUUGAUUUUCAAGGCCGCAACUUACCUUUUCGUUGCCGAAAUAGUAUCCGGUGCCGUGAGAUCUACGUUUUGAGGUUUGAGGAAGGAAAAUCAAGAUUUAAAGUAUUUGGUGACAUUUUGAGUUGGAAAGAAGAAUCAUAAGUUUUUGGGGUUUCUUGGGCCAAGGUUUCGAGACAUUUGUCUUCACUCUGGAUCUUACUCGUACCAUGAGUGCAUAUUCUCCUACAAGAAUAG
Molecule: long non-coding RNA, 368 nt
Organism: Macadamia integrifolia
Lineage: Eukaryota; Viridiplantae; Streptophyta; Magnoliopsida; Proteales; Proteaceae
Exons: 4
Source: RefSeq, a predicted model, not a curated record